UAAGAAGCCUUUCCAGCUCUUCAUCAGAGUUGUACACUUCCCUCUUUCCUCUGUAGCCGUAAAGUCCUUGUCACUUUCGGUAUCAUCGAAUUCUGACCCACUUUCCCCAGUUUGAGGCACUUCUUCUUCUUCAUUAUCAUCAUCGGAAUCAACUAAGCUUACAAAAAGUAGGCUUUUGUUUGUUGUUGGGAUUGUACACCGGUAACGUGUCUCAGGACAAAACACGAUCUGAUCGCCGCCUUGGUACAGAAGGAUCGACCGUAGCUUUUUUCUUUUGCCUUUUUGGGGCGGAAGAAAGAUAUUUCUCCAGUCGUUGUUGGUCGUUGGAGCCUGGACCACUUUGGCUUUCGGUCGACGGUCGCGAAGCUACUGUACCUUGAAUCGGUGAUGACGGUAACUUUGAAAUUGGCACUGGACUCGACGAAGUUUUCCAUGGAUCAAAGGAGCUUGGCACCUCUUUGCAUGGUGAUGUAUCCAUAGGAGUAGACCAUCACCACCUACAUCAUUCACCAUCGGGCUGCCGCCGGAGUAACAGACACGUGCAACAAGUGGGCAGCUUCCAGUUAAGGAUUAAGUGUUGAGUAUUUGAGGAGGUCAAAUUGAAUAGAUCGGGGUGGUGUUGUGAUAGGGUCUUCAACAAAUUGGUGAAAUACUCCAUUUGAGAUGGAUCCAUAGCACCGAUUGGUAGAUAGAUAGAGAGAGAGAGGAAUUUGGGGAAGAUGAAAGGGUUUAUGGGGAC
This 739-nucleotide long non-coding RNA is filed under the name Salvia miltiorrhiza (redroot sage). RNAcentral's name for it is "long non-coding RNA (SMIL_LNC011303)". The record is from RNAcentral. Lineage: Eukaryota; Viridiplantae; Streptophyta; Magnoliopsida; Lamiales; Lamiaceae.